Non-coding RNA from Nematostella vectensis (starlet sea anemone), 86 nucleotides. The record is from Rfam. Lineage: Eukaryota; Metazoa; Cnidaria; Anthozoa; Actiniaria; Edwardsiidae.
CCUUCGAUAGCUCAAUUGGUAGAGCGGGGGACUGUAGAUUUAUAAUUGUGAUCCCUAGGUCGCUGGUUCGAAUCCGGCUCGAAGUA